This 403-nucleotide ribosomal RNA is filed under the name uncultured bacterium. RNAcentral's name for it is "partial 16S ribosomal RNA". It matches the Rfam family "Bacterial small subunit ribosomal RNA", at positions 29 to 526 of the family's 1533-position model. The record is from RNAcentral.
AUUGAACGCUGGCGGCAGGCCUAACACAUGCAAGUCGAGCGAGCGGCGGACGGGUGAGUAAUGUAUGGGGACUGCCUGAUGGAGGGGGAUAACUACUGGAAACGGUAGCUAAUACCGCAUCCCAUCAGAUAACACAUAUGUGAUUAGCUUGUAGGUGAGGUAACGGCUCACCUAGGAGACGAUACCGAGCUGGUCUGAGAGGAUGAUCAGCCACAGUGGGACUGGGACACGCCCCGAACUCUGACGGGGGCACCGGUGGGGAAUCUUGCACAAUGGGCGAAGGCCUGAGGCAGCCAUGCCGCGUGUAUGAAGAGGGCCUUCGGGUGGUAAAGUACGUGCAGUCGGGAGGCGUUACCGACAGAGGAAGCACCGGCUAACUCCGUGCCAGCAGCCGCGGUAAUAC